This 629-nucleotide ribosomal RNA is filed under the name Kuraishia capsulata. Its description in RNAcentral is "SSU rRNA". It matches the Rfam family "Eukaryotic small subunit ribosomal RNA", at positions 948 to 1596 of the family's 1831-position model. The record is from RNAcentral. Lineage: Eukaryota; Fungi; Ascomycota; Pichiomycetes; Pichiales; Pichiaceae.
AAAGCAUUUGCCAAGGACGUUUUCAUUAAUCAAGAACGAAAGUUGAGGGGAUCGAACGAUGAACGAGAUACCGUCGUAGUCUUAACCAUAAACUAUGCCGACUAGGGAUCGGGCGUUGUUCUUUUUAUGACUCGCUCGGCACCUACCGAGAAAUCAAAGUUUUUGGGUUCUGGGGGGAGUAUGGUCGCAAGGCUGAAACUUAAAGGAAUUGACGGAAGGGCACCACCAGGAGUGGAGCCUGCGGCUUAAUUUGACUCAACACGGGAAAUCUCACCAGGUCCAGACACAAUAAGGAUUGACAGAUUGAGAGCUCUUUCUUGAUUUUGUGGGUGGUGGUGCAUGGCCGUUCUUAGUUGGUGGAGUGAUUUGUCUGCUUAAUUGCGAUAACGAACGAGACCUUAACCUACUAAAUAGUGCUGUUAGCUUCGGCUGAACUGGCACUUCUUAGAGGGACUAUCGAUUUCAAGUCGAUGAAAGUUUGAGGCAAUAACAGGUCUGUGAUGCCCUUAGACGUUCUGGGCCGCACGCGCGCUACACUGACGGAGCCAGCAAGUACUAUCCUUGGCCGAAAGUCCCGNGUAAUCUCGUGAACCUCCGCCGUGCUGGGGAUAGAGCAUUGAAAUUAUUGC